RNAcentral lists this ribosomal RNA (529 nucleotides) under uncultured bacterium. Its description in RNAcentral is "partial 16S ribosomal RNA". It matches the Rfam family "Bacterial small subunit ribosomal RNA", at positions 355 to 899 of the family's 1533-position model. The record is from RNAcentral.
UGGGGAAUAUUGGGCAAUGGGCGCAAGCCUGAUCCAGCCAUGCCGCGUGAGUGAUGAAGGCCUUAGGGUUGUAAAGCUCUUUCGCCGACGAAGAUAAUGACGGUAGUCGGAGAAGAAGCCCCGGCUAACUUCGUGCCAGCAGCCGCGGUAAUACGAAGGGGGCUAGCGUUGUUCGGAAUCACUGGGCGUAAAGCGCACGUAGGCGGAUUGUUAAGUCAGGGGUGAAAGCCUGGAGCUCAACUCCAGAACUGCCCUUGAUACUGGCAAUCUCGAGUCCGGAAGAGGUAAGUGGAACUGCGAGUGUAGAGGUGAAAUUCGUAGAUAUUCGCAAGAACACCAGUGGCGAAGGCGGCUUACUGGUCCGGUACUGACGCUGAGGUGCGAAAAGCGUGGGGGAGCAAAACAGGAUUAGAUACCCUGGUAGUCCACGCCGUAAACGAUGGAGGCUAGCCGUUGGCGAGCAUGCUCGUCAGUGGCGCAGCUAACGCAUUAAGCCUCCCGCCUGGGGAGUACGGUCGCAAGAUUAAAA